Canis lupus familiaris (dog) is the source of this 426-nucleotide non-coding RNA. The record is from the annotation of a RefSeq genome assembly. NCBI's taxonomy places the organism in Eukaryota, Metazoa, Chordata, Mammalia, Carnivora, Canidae.
UCCUAUGUGCUGACUCAGCUGCCAUCAGUGACUGUGACCCUGAGGCAGCCGGCCCGCAUCACCUGUGGUGGAGACAGCAUUGGAAGUAGAAAUGUUGACUGGUACCAGCAGAAGCCGGGCCAGGCACCCGUGCUGAUUAUCUAUAGAGAUAGCAACAGGCCGACAGGGAUCCCUGAGCGAAUCUCUGGCUCCAACUCGGGGAACACGGCCACCCUGUCCAUCAACGGGGCCCUGGCCAAGGACGAGGCUGACUAUUACUGCCAGGUAUGGGACAGCAGUGGCCACUACCCUGUGCUCAGAGGGGGGUCUGUAACUACUCUCCUAGGAAAACCAGAAGCUUCCCCGAUUUCCACCCUGGCUUCUAUCAGAGGGAUACCUUCAUAUCUGGAAGAGAAAAUCAUUUUCCCUACUCACAAAAACAGCUGA